GAUGAACGCUGGCGGCGUGCCUAAUACAUGCAAGUCGAGCGAACGGACGAGAGGCUUGCUUCUCUGAUGUUAGCGGCGGACGGGUGAGUAACACGUGGAUAACCUACCUAUAAGACUGGGAUAACUUCGGGAAACCGGAGCUAGUACCGGAUAAUAUUUUGAACCGCAUGGUUCAAAAGUGAAAGACGGUCUUGCUGUCACUUAUAGAUGGAUCCGCGCUGCAUUAGCUAGUUGGUAAGGUAACGGCUUACCAAGGCAACGAUGCAUAGCCGACCUGAGAGGGUGAUCGGCCACACUGGAACUGAGACACGGUCCAGACUCCUACGGGAGGCAGCAGUAGGGAAUCUUCCGCAAUGGGCGAAAGCCUGACGGAGCAACGCCGCGUGAGUGAUGAAGGUCUUCGGAUCGUAAAACUCUGUUAUUAGGGAAGAACAUAUGUGUAAGUAACUGUGCACAUCUUGACGGUACCUAAUCAGAAAGCCACGGCUAACUACGUG
RNAcentral lists this ribosomal RNA (497 nucleotides) under uncultured bacterium. Its description in RNAcentral is "partial 16S ribosomal RNA". It matches the Rfam family "Bacterial small subunit ribosomal RNA", at positions 28 to 507 of the family's 1533-position model. The record is from RNAcentral.